This is a long non-coding RNA of Ipomoea nil (Japanese morning glory), 98 nucleotides long. RefSeq lists it as uncharacterized. Lineage: Eukaryota; Viridiplantae; Streptophyta; Magnoliopsida; Solanales; Convolvulaceae. The transcript is spliced from 3 exons. The record is from RefSeq and is a predicted model, not a curated record.
GAUGUGCAUGCAGACACUAGUAGCAAAAAAACACUCAUUGAGAAGGUAGGCAUAGAUUGUGCUACACUUUUCAAUAGUAUCUCUUUACCUGCUUGGGA